GGGGACAAACCAGUGCCUCAUGUUUCUGGAAACGCUGCAGCAUUUAACUUCAAUUUUAAUCUGGAUAACGCCAAAGCUUUUCCUCAAAUUCACCCCUGGAGUCAGCUCAUAGAUGCUCUGAUUUUGUCUACCAUUGCUCCUCCUUAAUAUCUCUCGCACAGGUGCCAUUGACCUUUAGAUGGGCUGUACGGUGUGGGGUUCGGUGCCAUGGAUCUGCUUCUCCAGGGACCAGGAUCUUGAGAUCUUCAGGCUGGGUUUCCAUGGAGGCAUGGAGCUGCUUUUCCUCCUUCAUAACUGCACUCAAAACAGCCCUGUUGCUCUAGAAUGGAGACUUGGGCAACUCCUUCUGGCACAGAUUUGUUCACCUCAGGUGAAAUUCAGAUAGAAGCAAGCUGCAGGCAGUUUCACCUCUAAGUCCAUGGGUUCUCAACUGGUAACGUCCUCUUAUGGAUGUUAGCCCAUGAGGUCAAUCCUGUAGCAAUCUAAGGCUUGAGAAAAAUUAAUCUUCUGGAAAAUUCCAAGAAUACAUCUUAGGGAAACUGGCUCUACCUUUAUGACUUGGAUCACACAAGGAUAUGCUUUUCAUCUUGGACUAGAACUGAGAGCCAAUGGAUGUGUUAUCUAAAACUAUCCCAGUGUGUUCACUAUACAGAGGAAGAUUCUGAGAUUCAAGACUCAAGACUGAAGAAGAUCAUUAUUUUUAUUAUUUUAGUCUUAUGCACAAAAUGAUAUCUACUGAAUAAGCAGGUUUUUAAUAGGUGACUUAUAUAUGUUAGCAAAAAUAAACACUUUGUCUUUUAGAUCUAUUCUAGUUUUUCAGUAGCUGUAGACUUAAGUGCUAACUUUUAGCCCAUAGGAUAAGAAGAAACCAAGUCCUAAAAGUAGGCCAGCACCAGGGUUCAGGCCUCUGACUUCAAGCCAAGGGCUCAUCAUCUUGAAUUGCGCACGAAUUUUUACACAGCGCCAAAGGAAACUGCCUGUACUUACUGUUGUAGGUGCUUUGCUGGAUUCAGGAUGCAGACAAGGUCCACGCAUUGUGGUUGGUUCCCUUAGGUGGAGCUAUACCUACUCAAGCUGUAACCAAACUCACCCUGAAUGGAAAGAUGACCAAGCACUUCCUAAGCUCCAUGUACUGCACGCGUGGCCUGCUCACUCCAUGAAGCGGGCCGCCAGGUCAAGGCCCUUGGAGCAGACCUCUGAGGAGAAGGGCUGCACCAUAGUUGAAGAUGGUCGGGGGCCAAGCUGCUCCCCUGUGCACCGGCUUUCUGGGAGCAAAUGUAUGCUGGAAAUCCAAGCCUUUCUCUUGGCAGUGAUUGAAGGAAAUCACUGGAAAUACAGUGGUAUCCCUGGACACCGAACAAGCGUGACUUAUGGUAUGCAAUCUCAAAGCAACUUUUAUUGUCAGAGUGCUGAUUUUUAUUUUUUCCUGGUCCUGGAUAAAAACUCAGCAGUCCUUAAGUUUUAUUGAAAAGAAAAUUUAGAAAUUAGAAAUUAGAAAAAUAUAGAA
This 1507-nucleotide long non-coding RNA is filed under the name Homo sapiens (human). RNAcentral's name for it is "long intergenic non-protein coding RNA 840". Lineage: Eukaryota; Metazoa; Chordata; Mammalia; Primates; Hominidae. The record is from RNAcentral.